This 514-nucleotide ribosomal RNA is filed under the name uncultured bacterium. Its description in RNAcentral is "bacterial SSU rRNA". It matches the Rfam family "Bacterial small subunit ribosomal RNA", at positions 32 to 518 of the family's 1533-position model. The record is from RNAcentral.
AACGCUGGCGGCGUGCCUAAUACAUGCAAGUCGAACGGUCUUUCUAUGGAAGCUUGCUUCCACUGAGAAGAUAGUGGCGAACGGGUGAGUAACAACGUGGGUAACCUGCCCAUAAGAGGGGGAUAACAUCCGGAAACGGGUGCUAAUACCGCAUAGUUUUCUUGAUCGCAUGAUUGAGAAAGGAAAGACGGCCUUUGUGCUGUCGCUUAUGGAUGGACCCGCGGCGUAUUAGUUAGUUGGUGAGGUAACGGCUCACCAAGACGAUGAUACGUAGCCGACCUGAGAGGGUGAUCGGCCACAUUGGGACUGAGACACGGCCCAAACUCCUACGGGAGGCAGCAGUAGGGAAUCUUCCGCAAUGGACGAAAGUCUGACGGAGCAACGCCGCGUGAGUGAAAGAAGGUUUUCGGAUCGUAAAACUCUGUUGUCAGAGAAGAACAAGUUGGAGAGUAACUGCUCCAGCCUUGACGGUAUCUGACCAGAAAGCCACGGCUAACUACGUGCCAGCCGCCGC